RNAcentral lists this ribosomal RNA (497 nucleotides) under uncultured bacterium. Its description in RNAcentral is "partial 16S ribosomal RNA". It matches the Rfam family "Bacterial small subunit ribosomal RNA", at positions 28 to 507 of the family's 1533-position model. The record is from RNAcentral.
GAUGAACGCUGGCGGCGUGCCUAAUACAUGCAAGUCGAGCGAACAGACGAGGAGCUUGCUCCUCUGACGUUAGCGGCGGACGGGUGAGUAACACGUGGAUAACCUACCUAUAAGACUGGGAUAACUUCGGGAAACCGGAGCUAAUACCGGAUAAUAUAUUGAACCGCAUGGUUCAAUAGUGAAAGACGGUUUUGCUGUCACUUAUAGAUGGAUCCGCGCCGCAUUAGCUAGUUGGUAAGGUAACGGCUUACCAAGGCAACGAUGCGUAGCCGACCUGAGAGGGUGAUCGGCCACACUGGAACUGAGACACGGUCCAGACUCCUCCGGGAGGCAGCAGUAGGGAAUCUUCCGCAAUGGGCGAAAGCUUGACGGAGCAACGCCGCGUGAGUGAUGAAGGUCUUCGGAUCGUAAAACUCUGUUAUUAGGGAAGAACAAAUGUGUAAGUAACUAUGCACGUCUUGACGGUACCUAAUCAGAAAGCCACGGCUAACUACGUG